AGAAACCAACAGGGAUUGCCCUAGUAACGGCGAGUGAAGCGGCAACAGCUCAAAUUUGAAAUCUGGCGCAAGCCCGAGUUGUAAUUUGUAGAGGAUGCUUCAGGGCAGCGGCCGGUCUAAGUUCCUUGGAACAGGACGUCAUAGAGGGUGAGAAUCCCGUAUGCGACCGGUUGGCACCCGUCACGUAGCUCCUUCGACGAGUCGAGUUGUUUGGGAAUGCAGCUCUAAAUGGGAGGUAAAUGCCUUCUAAAGCUAAAUACCGGCCAGAGACCGAUAGCGCACAAGUAGAGUGAUCGAAAGAUGAAAAGCACUUUGGAAAGAGAGUUAAAAAGCACGUGAAAUUGUUGAAAGGGAAGCGCAUGCAACCAGACUUGCCGGCGGUGUUCAACCGGUCUUCUGACCGGUCUACUCGCCGCCGGCAGGCCAACAUCAUUUGGGAGCGCCGGAUAAAGGUGGGAGGAAUGUGGCCCCUCGGGGUGUUAUAGCCUCCUACGCAAUACGGCGCCUCCCGAGUGAGGUCCGCGCUUCGGCUAGGAUGUUGGCGUAAUGGUUGUCUGCGGCCCGUCUUGAAACACGGACCAAGGAGUCUAACAUCUAUGCGAGUGUUCGGGUGUCAAACCCCUACGCGUAAUGAAAGUGAACGGAGGUGGGAACUUUUUGUGCACCAUCGACCGAUCCUGAUGUCUUCGGAUGGAUUUGAGUAAGAGCAUAGCUGUUGGGACCCGAAAGAUGGUGAACUAUGCCUGAAUAGGGUGAAGCCAGAGGAAACUCUGGUGGAGGCUCGCAGCGGUUCUGACGUGCAAAUCGAUCGUCAAAUUUGGGUAUAGGGGCGAAAGACUAAUCGAACC
This 848-nucleotide ribosomal RNA is filed under the name Suberoteratosphaeria suberosa. RNAcentral describes it as "eukaryotic LSU rRNA". It matches the Rfam family "Eukaryotic large subunit ribosomal RNA", at positions 60 to 941 of the family's 3401-position model. The record is from RNAcentral. Lineage: Eukaryota; Fungi; Ascomycota; Dothideomycetes; Mycosphaerellales; Teratosphaeriaceae.